CCUACGGGUGGCAGCAGUAGGGAAUUUUCGGCAAUGGGGGGAACCCUGACCGAGCAACGCCGCGUGAACGAAGAAGUUAUUCGUAAUGUAAAGUUCUUUUAACAGGGAAGAAAGUGACGGUACCUUAGGAAUAAGCCUCGGCUAACUACGUGCCAGCAGCCGCGGUAAUACGUAGGAGGCAAGCGUUAUCCGGAAUGACUGGGCGUAAAGGGUGCGUAGGUGGUUUGACAAGUUGGUAGCGUAACUACGGGGCUCAACCUCGGCACUACUACCAAAACUGUCGGACUUGAGUGCAGGAGGGGCAAAUGGAAUUCCUAGUGUAGCGGUGGAAUGCGUAGAUAUUAGGAGGAACACCAGUGGCGAAGGCGAUUUGCUGGACUGUAACUGACACUGAGGCACGAAAGCGUGGGGAGCAAACAGGAUUAGAUACCCGAGUAGUC
RNAcentral lists this ribosomal RNA (440 nucleotides) under uncultured bacterium. RNAcentral describes it as "partial 16S ribosomal RNA". It matches the Rfam family "Bacterial small subunit ribosomal RNA", at positions 338 to 795 of the family's 1533-position model. The record is from RNAcentral.